Molecule: transfer RNA, 74 nt
Filed under: Dichotomanthes tristaniicarpa
Lineage: Eukaryota; Viridiplantae; Streptophyta; Magnoliopsida; Rosales; Rosaceae
Description: tRNA-Ile
Rfam family: tRNA
About the family: Transfer RNA (tRNA) molecules are approximately 80 nucleotides in length.
Source: RNAcentral
GCAUCCAUGGUUAAAUGGUUAAAGCGUUCGGCUCAUAAUUGGCGAAUUCGUAAGUUCAAUUCCUACUGGAUGCA